RNAcentral lists this small RNA (294 nucleotides) under Pan troglodytes (chimpanzee). Its description in RNAcentral is "processed transcript". Lineage: Eukaryota; Metazoa; Chordata; Mammalia; Primates; Hominidae. The record is from RNAcentral.
CGCGCCCCGCCGCUGAGCCGUCGCGGAGCCGCGCAGCCCUCGGAGCACGAAUAUAUACAGCCCUGCUCUGGGACACACCUCCAUUGGAUUUAAAAGACAGUCCUCGUCAGCACUGACUUUCAGCUAUGGAAUCGGAGUGGAAGGUCUCCCUGAGCCUGUGUCCUUUGCUGGCAGUCCCACUGCCCUCAGAGCGGCAUUCUCCCAGCAGGAUGGGCCUCAGUGCUGCCUGCAGAGCCUUCUGGUGAUGCGGAUGUUUCUCUGCUGAUUCUGUAGCAUCAUAACCAAAGAAGAAAA